ACUCAAAGGAAUUGACGGGGACCCGCACAAGCAGUGGAGCAUGUGGUUUAAUUCGAUGCUACGCGAAAAACCUUACCACCCCUUGAAUCCCAUUGACCGCUACAGAAAUGUAGCUUUGGAGCAAUCUACAGUGGAGACAGGUGUUGCAUGGCUGUCGUCAGCUCGUGUCGUGAGAUGUUAGGUUAAGUCCUUCAACGAGCGCAACCCUCAUCCUUAUUUGCCAUCGGGUUAAGCCGGGAACUAUAAGGAAACUGCCAACGACAAGUUGGAGGAAGGUGGGGACGAUGUCAAGUCAUCAUGGCCCUUAUGGGGUGGGCUACACACAUGCUACAAUGGUGGUUACAGCAGGAAGCGAAAGAGCAAUCUGGAGCAAAUCCUUAAAAGCCAUCUCAGUUCAGAUUGAGGGCUGCAACUCGCCCUCAUGAAGUUGGAAUUGCUAGUAAUCGUAGAUCAGCACGCUACGGUGAAUACGUUCUCGGGUCUUGUACACACCGCCCGU
This 499-nucleotide ribosomal RNA is filed under the name uncultured bacterium. RNAcentral describes it as "partial 16S ribosomal RNA". It matches the Rfam family "Bacterial small subunit ribosomal RNA", at positions 899 to 1397 of the family's 1533-position model. The record is from RNAcentral.